GACGAACGCUGGCGGCGUGCUUAACACAUGCAAGUCGAACGGAAAGGCCCUGCUUUUGUGGGGUGCUCGAGUGGCGAACGGGUGAGUAACACGUGAGUAACCUGCCCUUGACUUUGGGAUAACUUCAGGAAACUGGGGCUAAUACCGGAUAGGAGCUCCUGCUGCAUGGUGGGGGUUGGAAAGUUUCGGCGGUUGGGGAUGGACUCGCGGCUUAUCAGCUUGUUGGUGGGGUAGUGGCUUACCAAGGCUUUGACGGGUAGCCGGCCUGAGAGGGUGACCGGCCACAAUGGGAAUGAGAUACGGCCCAGAAUCCUACGGGAGGCAGCAGUGGGGAAUAGUGCACAAUGGGCGGAAGCCUGAUGCAGCAACGCCGCGUGCGGGAUGACGGCCUUCGGGUUGUAAACCGCUUUCGCCUGUGACGAAGCGUGAGUGACGGUAAUGGGUAAAGAAGCACCGGCUAACUACGUG
RNAcentral lists this ribosomal RNA (468 nucleotides) under uncultured bacterium. Its description in RNAcentral is "partial 16S ribosomal RNA". It matches the Rfam family "Bacterial small subunit ribosomal RNA", at positions 28 to 507 of the family's 1533-position model. The record is from RNAcentral.